AUUGAGAAGGGUAUAAACGGAGGCCGGAGCCAGCUCCAAGUUGGUGGGUCUUGGAGCUCCAAGUGGGCUGGGCAAACCUUAUUUAGGUUGUAUUUAGACUUGAAUAUUGUUCUUUAUGAAAUUGUACACCUAACCCUAAACCCAACCUCACAGUAAC
RNAcentral lists this long non-coding RNA (157 nucleotides) under Danio rerio (zebrafish). Its description in RNAcentral is "lncRNA si:dkey-23h22.1 (ENSDARG00000099253.2)". Lineage: Eukaryota; Metazoa; Chordata; Actinopteri; Cypriniformes; Danionidae. The record is from RNAcentral.